AUGAAGGAUAAGAAGAAUAAUUCUAGUACCCAAAUUAGGAUAGAGUUAGCUUCCCGCGUUAAUCGCUAUGAUGAUUUUGUGAAGUAUGAUGAGGAUAAGACGAUCUUAGAUUAUGGCUUGGUUCAUAACAGUAAGAUUAAUAAUAAUAAUAAUGAUGUAGCGUUGCAGUAUAAUAAUAUGUAG
Non-coding RNA from Vicia faba (fava bean), 183 nucleotides. Lineage: Eukaryota; Viridiplantae; Streptophyta; Magnoliopsida; Fabales; Fabaceae. The record is from the annotation of a GenBank genome assembly.